GCCGUCAGCGCCGAGGAACCGCAAGGGGCGUUGACUGGAGGCCCUGGGGGUCCUCGCGGUGCGGAAUUGAAGCAGCACAGAGGGCAGGAGGCCUGGAGUUCAGCAGGCACGGCUGGACUUCAAGCCUGUGAAGCGUGUGAGCAGCCCUGGAGAAGGAGCCAGCUCAGACCUCAGGCAGUGCUGGCAAGUCCCUGCUUCAGAUGUCCGUCGUGGGCCUGGACGCUGUGCCCACAGCAGGCGGCUGGGGUGUCGAGCCUCCCGUCAGCUGCUGUUCAGGACUCCCACAGGGCGUGCUGCAGAGUGCAUCUCUCGCAUGGUGUCCUUGCAAAGCUGAGCUGCUUCUUGCUGUGAGCUGCCUCUUUUCCUCGUGCAGGUUGGUGGCCCUCGACUCCACUCUGAUUCUGACAACUUUCACGGAACUCCGGGAACUGCCUCUCCCUAGGCCUGGCCCUGCUCACACGUGGUCUGUGGCUGAGAUAGCACUCAGCCACAGGUGGUUUCUGAGGCUGGUGACCUUUGAGGAUGUGGCUGCGGACUGCACACUGGAGGACCCUGUACUUGAGCGGAAUGAGACGUGGAGGUUCUGCAUCACCUCGUCUUCCUGUCUCCUUUGGGACCCCACAGCUGCUGUGUGGGACAGCUCAGGAGGAUAUUUCAGCACCGCGGACAGCUCCCCACACCGCUUCCGGGGAUGGUGCCCGGCUACUGCUGACUGACAUCGCUGCAGCUUCCCAGUUCUGCCUGUUCCUGAGCUUCCUCAGAGUGAAUUGUGUGCCCUGUAAUAGUCCGACGCCUAAGCUCCACACUGUCAGCCUUCAGGAUGUUUCUGUAGGGACAGUGUCUGACACCGGGUUGGUAAAACCAGUUAUUCUGAAUUCAGUUCCUGACUCCUAGGAGGGAAGGGGUGAUGUGGCUAUGAGCCCUUUGCCUCUUCCUAUGGGGGCCAGGGUCGGGGGGAAGACUCCUGGGGGCUGAUUCUCCCAACCCCACCUCUGUCCCAUCUUGCUCCUGGGCUGGGGACAGGAAGUGUGGUGGAUGUCAGGUCUAGGCCCAAACCUGCCUUUAUCACUCCCAGCUGGGAUCCUGGCUGGCCCAUCUGCCUUGGGGAGUCUCAGUUUGUAUUUCUAAAAUGCGUCUUUAUGGAGGGCUGUUUGUUCAUUCAUUAACGAAUGCUCCUUGGGCUGGCACCGCAUCAGGAAACUCACAGCCUAUGAUGAGUGAGAACCUGUAUCUUCCAUUGUGCUAAGCACAUAAAAUGGGUGCAGGCAGCACCUAUCUGGGCACCAGUGGCUGGGGAGGGCCUCUGAGAUGACAGCUGAGCUUCUGAGUGGCCAGCAGCAGACAUGAGGGUAGAAAGAGAGCUGUAGGUGAGUCCGAGAAAUGCAGAAAUCAGGUCUCAAAAGGCCUGGACGUCUGGGAAGGAAUUUGGAUGGUUCUGGGCCAGGGAUGUAACUUAGUGGUGCAGUCAGUGCCUUCAUGGCAAACUUGAGGCCCUGAGUUUGAUUCCUGGUACCAAAAAAAAAAAGGAUGGUUUUUCAAAUUAGGAAU
Molecule: long non-coding RNA, 1548 nt
Organism: Heterocephalus glaber (naked mole-rat)
Lineage: Eukaryota; Metazoa; Chordata; Mammalia; Rodentia; Bathyergidae
Source: Ensembl